UCUGGCUCAGGAUGAACGCUAGCGGCAGGCUUAACACAUGCAAGUCGAGGGGCAGCGCGGGGCGGCAACGUCCUGGCGGCGACCGGCGGAAGGGUGCGUAACGCGUGAGCGACAUGCCCGUUGCCCGGGGACAACCGGUGGAAACGCCGACUAAUCCCCGAUGGGACGGAGGCCCUCAUGGGUCUCUGUUGAAAGUUACGGCGGCGACGGAUUGGCUCGCGUCCGAUUAGCUUGUUGGCGGGGUAACGGCCCACCAAGGCUACGAUCGGUAGGGGUUCUGAGAGGAAGGUCCCCCACAAUGGAACUGAGACACGGUCCAUACUCCUACGGGAGGCAGCAGUGAGGAAUAUUGGUCAAUGGGCGGAAGCCUGAACCAGCCAUGCCGCGUGCGGGAAGGAGGCCCUAUGGGCUGUGAACCGCUUUUGCCUGGGGGCAAUAAGGGCGUCGUGCACGUCCGAUGAGAGUACCAGGCGAAUAAGCAUCGGCUAACUCCGUGCCAGCAGCCGCGGUAAUACGGGGGAUGCGAGCGUUAUCCGGAUUCAUUGGGUUUAAAGGGUGCGUAGGCUGUGCGUCAAGUCAGGGGUGAAAUUCCGGGGCUCAACUCCGGGGCUGCCCUUGAUACUGUCGCGCUGGAGUGCGGAUGCCGCCGGAGGAAUGAGUGGUGUAGCGGUGAAAUGCUUAGAUAUCACUCAGAACACCGAUUGCGAAGGCAUCUGGCGAAUCCGUAACUGACGCUGAGGCACGAAAGCGUGGGGAUAGAACAGGAUUAGAUACCCUGGUAUUCCACGCCGUAAACGAUGAUGGCUAACCGCCGGCGACACACUGUCGGUGGCCAAGCGAAAGCGAUAAGCCAUCCACCUGGGGAGUACGUCGGCAACGAUGCAACUCAAAUGAAUUGACGG
RNAcentral lists this ribosomal RNA (902 nucleotides) under uncultured Bacteroidota bacterium. RNAcentral's name for it is "bacterial SSU rRNA". It matches the Rfam family "Bacterial small subunit ribosomal RNA", at positions 18 to 916 of the family's 1533-position model. The record is from RNAcentral. Lineage: Bacteria; Pseudomonadati; Bacteroidota.